GGAUGCGAUCAUACCAGCACUAAAGCACCGGAUCCCAUCAGAACUUCGAAGUUAAGCGUGCUUGGGCGAGAGUAGUACUAGGAUGGGUGACCUCCUGGGAAGUCCUCGUGUUGCGUUCC
RNAcentral lists this ribosomal RNA (119 nucleotides) under Triticum aestivum (bread wheat). Lineage: Eukaryota; Viridiplantae; Streptophyta; Magnoliopsida; Poales; Poaceae. The record is from RNAcentral.